Molecule: unclassified non-coding RNA, 329 nt
Filed under: soil metagenome
Description: partial contains 5.8S ribosomal RNA, internal transcribed spacer 2, and large subunit ribosomal RNA
Rfam family: 5.8S ribosomal RNA (bases 1-120)
Source: RNAcentral
GAUGAAGAACGUAGCGAAAUGCGACAAGUAAUGUGAAUUGCAGAAUUCCGUGAAUCAUCGAAUCUUUGAACGCACAUUGCGCCCCCUGGCAUUCCGGGGGGCAUGCCUGUUCGAGCGUCAUUACAACCCUCAAGCUCUGCUUGGUAUUGGGCUCUGCCGGUCCCGGCAGGCCUUAAAAUCAGUGGCGGCGCCACUCGGCUUCAAGCGUAGUAAUUCUUCUCGCUUCGGAGACCCGGGUGCGUGCUAGCCAGCAACCCCCAACUUUCUCAGGUUGACCUCGGAUCAGGUAGGGAUACCCGCUGAACUUAAGCAUAUCAAUAAGCGGAGGA